RNAcentral lists this long non-coding RNA (1741 nucleotides) under Daucus carota (carrot). RNAcentral describes it as "long non-coding RNA (DCAR_LNC003981)". Lineage: Eukaryota; Viridiplantae; Streptophyta; Magnoliopsida; Apiales; Apiaceae. The record is from RNAcentral.
UUUUAAACACUCGGAGCGUCUAGCACAUGCAAGUCAUCAUGAUCAUAUGUACAAGGCCAUAGCUGCUGGACAGUUUUAAGGGUCCUAGAUCUAUCGUACUACUAGCUUCCUUCAUGCCAUUAACCAAUUGCAUAUCAGAAUUCUUUCGAAUGAAUUGCAAUAGUCUACAUCUCGUUCUUUAACCUUGUACGAGUUCCGAUAAAUACCAGAGUAAAUGUGCAGGGACCUGUUUAUGUAAAUAAGACGAACAUUAUAUAUUGAAUUUUUAACAGCGAUAGAACGGUGCGUAAAAUAUUGUCGGUUUACAGUUCAUCGUCUGUAUUGGGACCAACAGGGCACGGCAUAUGCAGUCACCAUCUGCAUUAAGCAACCACAGACAAACUGUUUGACAACACAAUGAAAAUCAAGAAAUAUUAUCACCAGGCACAUUAUCAAAUUUACCAACCCUUAUAUGAUAUCAAGAUGGUAAACAACAGACUGUUUCGGCAUCCAAGGAAUAUCACAAUUUUCGCGGCCUUAACAGUUCUAUCCCACCAUUCUAGUCUUCUAGAGGGUCAAGGUUAAGCCAAUGUUUUACGCAUGCCAGCUUGGCUCAGAGCUUUAGGGAUUCGAUAUGACAUCACCAUGUUUUAUCUAGUGUGUCCUCCAAACACUCCUAUAAUGUUUUUGACAUGUUACAAGGCAAGGAUAGGGUCGGUCUAAGCUAAAGUCCAGACUGAUCCUCAAAAAUCAAUAUUAUUUUAACAUGUUAUGAUUUUUAGUUAAAAAUUAGUAAAUAUUUGAUUUUCAACUCCGUCAACCUCCAAAAUUUAGACAUCUACUGCUUUAGCCCUGACUAUCAAGGAAUCCUGGUUCCGAACUCACAAAUAUCUAUCAGCAAUUACACGUAAAAAAUGGGAACAACAGGAGUAAAAAAGAUAAGGAAUAGACAUAGACCAAAUGGCAAGCAAGCUUUUCCCUGGGGCCAAUAUACUGAAAUACAUGUGCAAAAAGCCAGUAUAUAUCUUUUCAUUUCUCAAAUCCAUCUCUUUCCAUCUACUCAUCAACUUUACAGUUCCUUGGCCACUUUGUUAUUCGAAGGUGUGCAUAGUCCAGCUCUAAAGUUCUGUAAAUUCUUCACUCCUAAUAUAAUUAUAUAAGUAACAUGUGGGUGUCUUAGUUUAUAAGUGAUGAUCACAGUAAAAAAAUUGGCAAGUGAAGCUUAAGUUCUUCUUCUGAGUAAAGUAUAAGUUCUUUCACUUUUCGACUAACAUGAUAUUCUUUUUUAGGGGGAAUCAUCCUAGCUUGUUGAUAUAAUAAGCGACAUCUCAACUGGGGCUUCUACAUUGGGAUUGCGAAUCUGAUCAUGGGAAUCACCGGGGAGCUUGUUAGGAGUGUCUUCUCCAAGAGCAAGUCCAUCAGAGGUCAUGAAGCCAAUGUGAGUCAAUUUCACUAAUUUUUCUUGCUUGCUAACAACUCUCUUAGAUUAUGUAUUACCAUAUAACUCGUGAGACUAUUGUAUACAUGGUGAAAUCAUGAUCCCUUUGCUCAAUCGACACAAUCCUUUUUUUGAUGAAGCAGGUCAGAAGUAAUCAAGAACGGAAAAGAUGGAAAAGUUCAGUGAGAUCCUACCUGUGUGGGGAUGAAUUUAACUCUGUUCUCGCGGAGGAGGAUUCAGCUUCUCUGAGGAGCUCCAAAGUCACUGUAUCAACUGAACCUGAAUUUAGUUCGACCAAUGUAGAUGAUCCUGCUUCUUCCGUUU